This 73-nucleotide transfer RNA is filed under the name Stegodyphus mimosarum. It matches the Rfam family "tRNA". Rfam says of the family: Transfer RNA (tRNA) molecules are approximately 80 nucleotides in length. Their secondary structure includes four short double-helical elements and three loops (D, anti-codon, and T loops). The record is from Rfam by way of RNAcentral. Lineage: Eukaryota; Metazoa; Arthropoda; Arachnida; Araneae; Eresidae.
GCCUUCGUGAUGUAGUGGUUAGCACGCUCGACUCGUAACCGAGAGGUCCAUGGUUCGAAUCCCGAAGAGGGCA